RNAcentral lists this small RNA (322 nucleotides) under Arabidopsis thaliana (thale cress). Its description in RNAcentral is "ATSL124500". The record is from RNAcentral. Lineage: Eukaryota; Viridiplantae; Streptophyta; Magnoliopsida; Brassicales; Brassicaceae.
AAUUUUAUAAAAUAUUUUUAUUUUACAGUUUAUAAUUGUUAUUAGGUAACCCUAUACCACGAAUCCAUGAGAUAAUUGUUAAAAAACUGGAGUUUUAAUCCCUAUUAAAACAGUAUAUUAAUAAUAUUUUAAAAUUUUAUAAAUAUUGAUUCAAAUACAUCCACCAUAUAACCCAAUUCUAAAAUAAAACUCGUUAUGUAAUUUUUUUACCCGUCCCGUGAUUAUUUUUCUAAAGUAGUAAUUUUUAAAAUUUAAGAAUUAUUUUUUAUAUAUUAAAGUUUUGCAAAUUGUAUCAUUCUCUAAUACAUUUAUAUUUUAUUGU